CCUACGGGUGGCAGCAGUGGGGGAUAUUGCACAAUGGGGGGAACCCUGAUGCAGCGACGCCGCGUGGGCGAAGAAGCGCCUCGGCGCGUAAAGCUCUGUCAGCAGGGACGAAACCGACGGUACCUGACGAAGAAGCCCCGGCCAACUACGUGCCAGCAGCCGCGGUAAUACGUAGGGGGCAAGCGUUAUCCGGAUUUACUGGGUGUAAAGGGGGCGCAGACGGGAAGGCAAGCCAGGAGUUAAAGGCCGGGGCCCAACCCCCGGACUGCUCGUGGAACUGGGGGGCUGGAGUGCAGGAGGGGCAGACGGAAUUCCUGGUGUAGCGGUGAAAUGCGUAGAUAUCAGGAGGAACACCGGUGGCGAAGGCGGCCUGCUGGACUGCAACUGACGUUGAGGCCCGAAAGCGGGGGGAGCAAACGGGAUUAGAUACCCUAGUAGUC
This 440-nucleotide ribosomal RNA is filed under the name uncultured bacterium. RNAcentral's name for it is "partial 16S ribosomal RNA". It matches the Rfam family "Bacterial small subunit ribosomal RNA", at positions 338 to 795 of the family's 1533-position model. The record is from RNAcentral.